This 199-nucleotide small RNA is filed under the name Arthrobacter sp. Its description in RNAcentral is "c-di-AMP sequence". It matches the Rfam family "c-di-AMP riboswitch aptamer (ydaO/yuaA leader)". Rfam says of the family: This family represents a conserved RNA structure found upstream of the ydaO and yuaA genes in Bacillus subtilis and related genes in other bacteria. The ydaO/yuaA element is thought to act as a genetic "off" switch for the ydaO and yuaA genes in its native state. The record is from RNAcentral. Lineage: Bacteria; Bacillati; Actinomycetota; Actinomycetes; Micrococcales; Micrococcaceae.
AGCUAGCCUAACUCUGCCAUUACUCUGAGGUCCGUUCGCAACAUUCGUCUGGCAGAGACGGGGGAACCACAUACGGGCUUCUUAGAAGUCCUUGGGGUGAAGCCGCUGAAGUUCGAGAACUUAGGUUCAGAAUCUAAAGCGGCCGGGUGACUCCCAUCCGAAUCCGACAGCUUACCUCGCAGGCUUUGGGAGAGGUCAA